This 68-nucleotide transfer RNA is filed under the name bovine gut metagenome. It matches the Rfam family "tRNA". From Rfam's summary of the family: Transfer RNA (tRNA) molecules are approximately 80 nucleotides in length. Their secondary structure includes four short double-helical elements and three loops (D, anti-codon, and T loops). Further hydrogen bonds mediate the characteristic L-shaped molecular structure. tRNAs have two regions of fundamental functional importance: the anti-codon, which is responsible for specific mRNA codon recognition, and the 3' end, to which the tRNAs corresponding amino acid is attached (by aminoacyl-tRNA synthetases). tRNAs cope with the degeneracy of the genetic code in two manners: having more than one tRNA (with a specific anti-codon) for a particular amino acid; and 'wobble' base-pairing, i.e. permitting non-standard base-pairing at the 3rd anti-codon position. The record is from RNAcentral.
UGAAAUAGCUCAGUUGGUAGAGCACUUCACUCGUAAUGAAGGGGUCGUGGGUUCGAAUCCCAUUUUCA